RNAcentral lists this ribosomal RNA (253 nucleotides) under uncultured bacterium. RNAcentral describes it as "partial 16S ribosomal RNA". It matches the Rfam family "Bacterial small subunit ribosomal RNA", at positions 524 to 776 of the family's 1533-position model. The record is from RNAcentral.
GACAGAGGGUGCGAACGUUGCUCGGAAUUACUGGGCGUAAAGCGCGUGUAGGCGGACUGGUAAGUCGGACGUGAAAUCCCUGGGCUCAACCCAGGAACUGCAUCCGAAACUAUCAGUCUGGAGUGGUGGAGAGGAAAGCAGAAUUCCUGGUGUAGAGGUGAAAUUCGUAGAUAUCAGGAGGAACACCGGUGGCGAAGGCGGCUUUCUGGACAGUAACUGACGCUGAGACGCGAAAGCGUGGGGAGCAAACAGG